AGAACCCUUCGGGGCGAAGAUAAAGUGGAUUAGCGGCGGACGGGUGAGUAACACGUGAGUAACCUGCCUUAGACAUUGGGAUAGCCUCGGGAAACCGGGAUUAAUACCAAAUAAAAUCAUAAUGACACAUGUCAUAACGAUCAAAACUCCGGUGGUCUAAGAUGGACUCGCGUCCCAUUAGCUAGUUGGUAGAGUAAAAGCCUACCAAGGCGACGAUGGGUAGCCGGCCUGAGAGGGUGAACGGCCACAUUGGAACUGAGAAACGGUCCAAACUCCUACGGGAGGCAGCAGUGGGGAAUAUUGCACAAUGGAGGGAACUCUGAUGCAGCGACGCCGCGUGAACGAAGAAGGCUUUCGAGUCGUAAAGUUCUUUUAUAUGGGAAGAUAAUGACGGUACCAUAAGAAAAAGCCCCGGCUA
This 418-nucleotide ribosomal RNA is filed under the name uncultured Peptoniphilus sp. Its description in RNAcentral is "bacterial SSU rRNA". It matches the Rfam family "Bacterial small subunit ribosomal RNA", at positions 69 to 499 of the family's 1533-position model. Lineage: Bacteria; Bacillati; Bacillota; Tissierellia; Tissierellales; Peptoniphilaceae. The record is from RNAcentral.